GCUGUGGCUCAGUGGUAGAGUGCUUGCCUCGAAGGUGCGAGGCCCUGGGUUCAAUCCUCAGCAAUGUA
Molecule: transfer RNA, 68 nt
Filed under: Marmota monax (woodchuck)
Lineage: Eukaryota; Metazoa; Chordata; Mammalia; Rodentia; Sciuridae
Description: tRNA.Ser
Source: RNAcentral